Molecule: long non-coding RNA, 224 nt
Filed under: Elaeis guineensis (African oil palm)
Lineage: Eukaryota; Viridiplantae; Streptophyta; Magnoliopsida; Arecales; Arecaceae
Description: long non-coding RNA (EGUI_LNC081952)
Source: RNAcentral
GGAGAGCAUAACUGAUUGAUAGCGAUGUCUGUAACCGCCUGGUAGUGGGCCAUUCGGAGCCACGCGGAGUUUGUUACGGAGAGUAGUGGUGUCAGGGGACUGUUCAGAGCCGCGUAGAGUUUGUUAUGGAGAGUGGAGUGGUGUCUGUUGUCGCGACUUGCCAGAGAGUGGUGGGGCCACGUAGAAUCUGCUACAGAGAGUGGAGUGGUGUCCGUUGUCGUGAC